GGAAAUUGAGAAAUAUACAUACCAGACAUGGCAAAGGGCAUGAUAAGAAUGCAUAAGGUAUGAAAGUUGGGGAGUUCAAGAAACAGAAACUUCAUGAAGAUGAGGAAACUUAGGCUGAGAGAGGUGGAAUGAGUUGCCCAGAUUCACAUAGUGAGUGUCUGAAGUAAGAUAUGAAGGUGAAUCGCUGCUAAUCCCAAGUCUGCUCUACCGCCUAGCUGCCCAGAAUUGGAGAAGAACCAAAAAAGGAGUUGGUCUGGGGAAGUUGUCCUGGUAACACUUCAUCAAUGGUAAUAUGUUGUAGCCUCCUCAUAUAUACAACUCUGUUGUCAUUUGGGUGACCCUGUAAUUCCAUUCCAUGGAGAUGUCAAGAGAUCUGGAAGAAGGCCAUGUUGAAUGGACCUCCAAAAGGAUUAAUACAAGCCUUGAGUGUCUCUGGAGACAAUGAAGAAAUAUAUCUUAAAUAUUUGUAAUCCUGAUGCUGUCGUGAGCAAACAGGUUCUGCCUGGAGAAAGCCUUCUAUCAUAAGGAAUUGAGAUUAUUAACUAAUGAUUGAGAAAACUGACUUAUCAGAAUAAAAUUUGCCAAUGGGACUCCUAGGAUGUGUGGACAUGUUUCCAUUCUGAUAAGUGAGGAGCCAAGCCUGUAAUUUGUCCGCCAUAUCCAUCCUUCGCACCCCACCCCCGGCAGCAAGUUCUUCUUCAGUUACUGCGAAAAUUGUCUAUUGCUCUUCAUAAGCUUCUGCCCAAGGCUUUCCUUCUGCCUUUUACAAUCACCUUGGCCUUUCUAGGGAAGAUUAAGAAUGGUAAAAAAAGAAAAAUGGAAAAUGUACCAGGCUGGAAAACAAAGUGACCUGAAACCAAGACAGCUAAUGAUGAUACUGAAAAGUGACAUGGAACAGCUUUGAAUUCACAGGCUGAUAGAUUUGAUGUAACCUUCACAGAUUACCCUGAAGGCAAGAGAAACUCUGAUGCUGCUUUCUCACUUGAAACCUUGGAAACAUUUUUGGUUUCUGGGAUCCAGAGUUUAUAGGGCAUAUAUUGGCUUUUUAGAGUAGAUGGUUUUAAAGUUUUUUUUAUUAGAACACAUUGUAAGCAUAUUUAUAUAUAUAUAAUCACACAUAUACAUGUAUGUAUACAUAUAUGUACAUAUCCAUUGUAGUACUAGAUAGCUUAGUAGCAGGGGUGGGGAACCCAUGGCCUUGAGGCCACAUGUGGCCCUCUAGGUCCUUGAGUGCAUCCCUUUGACAGAAUUCAAACUUCACUGAAGUUCACUAAUUAGAAUUCAACAUCAGAAACCAACUUCACUGGUUUGGAUUCAGUCAAAGGGCCACACUUGAGGACCUAGAGGACCACGUAUGGUCUUGGGGUCACGGGUUCCCCAUAUCUGGGUCUCAGUGGAUAGAGUGCUAAACUUGGAGUCAAGAACUGAGUUCAAAUCCUCCCCUAGAUACUGCAUGA
Molecule: long non-coding RNA, 1457 nt
Organism: Vombatus ursinus (common wombat)
Lineage: Eukaryota; Metazoa; Chordata; Mammalia; Diprotodontia; Vombatidae
Exons: 6
Source: RefSeq, a predicted model, not a curated record